UGACACCAAUGUUUGCGAUUAUUGCAUCGUGCACAGUUUCUCAAAGGGUCUCUGAUCGUAGUGUCGCAUUAGCAGCAUCCUGCAGUAGUGAAGUAUCAUUAGUUUGGAAGUCCUACUUGAUUAGGGAAGGGUGCAGAUGACACUCUUAAUCCAUCCUAGUGAGGCUACAAUAUCCAAGAAAAAGAAAACCAGGGGCAGAAUGGAAGCAGUAAUUCCUUGAAAGAUCACAAUAUAGUACAGAGGUGAAAUAGAAUAACAUAGAAAUUGCGAUAAAGUUUAAUGACAUAUAAAUGGUAUGUGUCUUACCCUUAUUUGCUUGUGAUUAACACCACAACUUAAUAUUUUUUAGAAUGAUGCCAAACACAAGAUGUUUGUUAGAAUGCAUAUUGAAUAACAUAAACUGAAUUUCAACUUGGACCCUCCGAUAUUAACACAUACAAUAUUUUUCAACUUGCAAUAUAACUGUACCAAACCACAAGUAUUUUUCAAUUUGGAUAUACAGGGGACCAAAAAGCGUAACUAAAACUGCAACAAUGGUAUGACAACUACCACGACCAAAAAGGGAGCGCGCCCAUGCUCAUGUUUAAAUCGGAAAGAGAGAAAGAACAAAAAAAAUGGGCCUAUAACAAAGAGGGAAAAUAAGAGAGAGGGGAGAGGGGGAAGGGACCUUCCAUGGCAUCAGCUCUGGCCGGGGAGGCCGGGGCAGACAGGCGGAUCAUGAGAAGGAGGCUCCUCUCUACCGGUGGAGUAGGAGCAGACCUCGAGAACCCUUCCUUAAUUCCUUUUGUUGUCGGUGUCAUCCCGGUCGCUGACCGCCAUACCUCGUGUACAGAUGAGACAUAAUUUAAAUCUCCUAGCAUAGAAAUGCAUCGGGUUCAAUCUCCUUGAAUGAGGAAAAGUACAUAUGUUAUAGUAUGCAGCAGCCUUGAUAGCUAUCUUCCCUUGUGUAGAAAAAAUAAAUUCUGCCAUCUUCCCACAAAACAUAAAUUGCAAUCCUACAGUUUCAACAUGUGCGUCAACAUUAAUGUUUGACUUAACCAAGUAAGUAGCAGAAGCUCGUAAGACAUUUUUUUAUGUAGAGAGACCAACAUCAAUAUCAUUUAUGGGUAGUUACAAAUAAAAUGGUUGUAAGCCAUGCUUGCUGCUCAAAACUUGUGAAUUUUGCUUUCUAUGAUUUAGCAAGAAACAUUCAAAUUAACUUACCUGACCAUGGAUCAAGUAUCUAAAACUAUUUCUUUAAGGGAAACAUCUAAACCGUUGCUCAGGCAAAGAAAUAAUCCAUGCAAACUAAAGGGAAAUAAAUAAGGUCAUAUUCUGAAAGAAGUGGUACACAAGACAAGACAAAUAUUAUAUAUUAAACAUAGAAGAUUUUUCUGGUAUCAAGGGUGGAGGAGAAUAUUAGACUUAUUUGAUGAAGCUUUAGAGAGGGAGUGGACCAUCAAUUUUUCAUCGCCAAUAUAUCAAAUACAGUUUGGAGGCUUUCCCAAAACAUUGGUUAUCAUGUUGUGAACAAAGGAAGCACAAACUAAGGUAGAGAACAAAGAAGAAUAGAGAUGCUACCUGCAGGCUGCGGCAG
This 1576-nucleotide long non-coding RNA is filed under the name Triticum aestivum (bread wheat). RNAcentral describes it as "long non-coding RNA (TAES_LNC007175)". The record is from RNAcentral. Lineage: Eukaryota; Viridiplantae; Streptophyta; Magnoliopsida; Poales; Poaceae.